GGGCCCGAGUUGUAAUUUGUAGAGGAUGCUUCUGAGUAACCACCGACCUAAGUUCCUUGGAACAGGACGUCAUAGAGGGUGAGAAUCCCGUAUGGGAUGGGGUGUCCGCGCCCGUGUGAAGCUCCUUCGACGAGUCGAGUUGUUUGGGAAUGCAGCUCAAAUUGGGUGGUAAAUUCCAUCUAAAGCUAAAUAUUGGCGAGAGACCGAUAGCGAACAAGUACCGUGAGGGAAAGAU
This 235-nucleotide ribosomal RNA is filed under the name Ctenophora environmental sample. RNAcentral's name for it is "partial Eukaryotic large subunit ribosomal RNA". It matches the Rfam family "Eukaryotic large subunit ribosomal RNA", at positions 134 to 365 of the family's 3401-position model. Lineage: Eukaryota; Metazoa; Ctenophora. The record is from RNAcentral.